ACAAUAUGGAUGAAGGAGAUGGCUUUAAGGAGU
Molecule: small RNA, 33 nt
Filed under: Arabidopsis thaliana (thale cress)
Lineage: Eukaryota; Viridiplantae; Streptophyta; Magnoliopsida; Brassicales; Brassicaceae
Description: ATSL004460
Source: RNAcentral